Molecule: ribosomal RNA, 823 nt
Filed under: uncultured archaeon
Lineage: Archaea
Description: bacterial SSU rRNA
Rfam family: Archaeal small subunit ribosomal RNA
Source: RNAcentral
ACGGCUCAGUAACACGUGGACAAUCUGCCCUUGGGUCUGGGAUAACUCCGGGAAACUGGAGAUAAUACCAGAUAGGUCAUAGAUGCUGGAAUGCUCUAUGGCCCAAAGCUCCGGCGCCCAAGGAUGAGUCUGCGGCCUAUCAGGUUGUAGUGGGCGUAAUGGACCCACUAGCCUACGACGGGUACGGGUUGUGAGAGCAAGAGCCCGGAGAUGGAUUCUGAGACAUGAAUCCAGGCCCUACGGGGCGCAGCAGGCGCGAAACCUUUACAAUGCGCGCAAGCGCGAUAAGGGGACCUCGAGUGUUCCUACCUAGUAGGAACUGUCCAGUUGUCUAAAAAACAACUGUUAGCAAGAGCCGGGCAAGACCGGUGCCAGCCGCCGCGGUAACACCGGCGGCUCGAGUGGUGACCGCUUUUAUUGGGUCUAAAGGGUCUGUAGCCGGUCUAACAAGUUCUUUGGAAAAUCUGGUCGCUUAACGAUCAGGCUGCUAGGGGAUACUGUUAGACUUGGGACCGGGAGAGGCUAGAGGUACUUUAGGGGUAGGGGUGAAAUCCUGUGAUCCUUAAAGGACCACCAGUGGCGAAGGCGUCUAGCUAGAACGGAUCCGACGGUGAGGGACGAAAGCUGGGGGCACGAACCGGAUUAGAUACCCGGGUAGUCCCAGCCGUAAACGAUGCGAGCUAGGUGUCAGUUUUACUGCGAGUAAAAUUGGUGCCAUAGGGAAGCCGUGAAGCUCGCCACCUGGGAAGUACGGNCGCAAGGCUGAAACUUAAAGGAAUUGGCGGGGGAGCACUACAACGGGUGGAGCCUGCGGUUUAAUUGG